UAAAGAAACAGAAAUCUACCUUGUGUAAGGAGGAGCAUUAACUUGCUCUUUGGGCUUUCAAUUCCAGCAAUUGUCAAAAGCAUUGGAAAUGAGCAAAUCCUAAGAAAGAACUUCAUAAGAUCAUAAGGAUAAUGGCUCUGGAACACCUAGUCCAGCCAAGGCAACAAAACAACUGUCUACGUCCAAGCAGAGUUAGAGGCUUUCCACCCUCUGCCAAGCCAAACCACUGACCAUGACCCCUGGAGAAAAGAUGAAAAACAAACAGCUCUCCAUCAUGGCAGAUCACCACCCAUGGACGCCUUCUCUUCCAGUGCUCUUCCUGACCGUCCUCCAUUGAGGGCUUUUCUAAGAUACUGUGAAGUCUUUUCACUUCCCGUGGUUCCCAGGUAAACACUUCAGCUGACCCUUCCUUAGAGGAGAGGUAUGCUGGGGCUAGCUCUAAAACCUUACAAAAGCCAGUUGUUAAAUUUUCAUAGUGAGCAAAAGUCAGACAUCAAGGCUGGAUUUAUUGAUUGGCUUAGUUUGUUUUGUUGACUGCCUAGGCUUAAGGAAGUAGAAAUUUAAAUUUAAAAUGUGGGCAUACAUUCCAGCCUAGCUCACCUCCAUAUUGCUCUUAGAACUGUGACUUGAGCUAAUGAUGAC
This 642-nucleotide long non-coding RNA is filed under the name Monodelphis domestica (gray short-tailed opossum). Its description in RNAcentral is "lncRNA (ENSMODG00000048291.1)". The record is from RNAcentral. Lineage: Eukaryota; Metazoa; Chordata; Mammalia; Didelphimorphia; Didelphidae.